AUAUUUUUACAAGCAGCACCCUGUCUCUACUUAUGGUUUCUCCUUGAUUUCCCUGUCACUCAAAAGAUCCUGGUAUUGCAUUCUGGUUUUUUACAAAAACUUCUUUUUUUUUUUUUUUUUUUUUUUUUUUUUUCAGAGAGAGAAUUAUUUGAUAGGCUUUUUGUGUUUUCUCCCCUAUAAACUUUCAGAUCUCCACUUUGUGUUUGAAAUCCUCCCUAUGAGAAUUUGCCAACCAGUUUUUUGGGUUUACUCAAGUUCACUGCUGUUGUCUGACUGACUGUUAUCAUGAAGCAUGGAAGCCCUCAGACCAUCUCUGCAUCAAGUGUUCUCUAGGAUGAGAGCCAUUAAUCUGUCACAUCAAGCCACUGCUGGCAGAUUGCAUCCUACGCCUCUCUCAGAAGUCCCCUUUCUGGACUCAGUAGUCUCUGAUGCAAUACUACGCUUUCUAAGGCUCAGUUGUCCAUGCAUUUCUAAUGAAGUGGCUGAAAUAUGAAGCUCAGAAACAAAAUGGCAAAGUAUGUUACAGACUAGCAAUUUUGGUUGAUGCAUUCUCUUCCUGGUGAGUUUACAUCUACUACCUUACAAGAGAACACAGUAACUAACAACUGCUAAAGAUGGAGGAGAGUUUCUUCCGAUGAAAAAGAAUGAAAGCUCAAUGAUUUCUUCAAAACCAUCCUCCUCUUGCUGAAGACAAGAAGUAGGAGAAAAAUGCUGGUAGCAGACAUUUUAAAGCUCAAAGUGAUUUGAACAUUUCU
Molecule: long non-coding RNA, 755 nt
Organism: Gallus gallus (chicken)
Lineage: Eukaryota; Metazoa; Chordata; Aves; Galliformes; Phasianidae
Source: Ensembl